Long non-coding RNA from Bradysia coprophila, 397 nucleotides. NCBI's taxonomy places the organism in Eukaryota, Metazoa, Arthropoda, Insecta, Diptera, Sciaridae. The record is from RefSeq and is a predicted model, not a curated record.
AAUGUCACCAAUGUCACUAACCGUCAUUUGUGUUCUGUGCAAAUAAAACGAAAGAAAUGUGUGACUGAAAAAGACACGGCACAUGUUUUAAAAAUUAAUUUUUAAAUCGAUCCGAAUCUUCGUUGACACUUUACCGAUGGGUGCUACAAAAUCCAAAGAGCCGCUAAAUCCCAGCGCGGUGCAGUUGAUCUAUCCUUGCUGUCCGCCCGAUGCGACAAAGUUUACAUAAACGGCCUUCAGCGGACCCAUGACGAUUACAUUAAUCGGCGGUACUUAAUCUGUUCAAAGCCGAAACGUUUAAGGAUUUGCUGGUCGAAACCGGACAGUGCAAAGCGAAUCUGAAUGAACUGGGAAUAUUCAAGGAUGUGCAUGUUAGCAUCGACGUUAGCAAGGGGGA